CGGGAAGCUUAAUCUGAGUGUUUUCACCAUGACUCUGGCUCCACUACUCCUUGUCCUCCUUUAUUACUUAACAGGGUCAUGGGGCCAGUUUCAACUGACUCAGCCAAACUCUGUGUCAGGGCCUCUAGGAAGCACAGUCAGCCUCUCCUGCAAGCGCAGCAGUGGUAACAUUGGAAGCAAGUAUGUGCAGUGGUACCAGCAGCAUGAGGGAAGAUCCCCCACUACUGUGAUAUAUAAGGAUGAUCAGCGACCAUCCGGGAUUCCUGAUCGGUUCUCUGGCUCCAUUGACAGCUCCUCCAACUCAGCCUCUCUGACCAUCAGUAACGUGCAGGCUGAAGAUGAGGCUGUCUACUAUUGUCAAUCCUACGAUAGUGGCUAUAAACACCACAGUGAUGUGAACCACGGAGGAAGUGAGACAAAAACUCCCCAAAGCACCAGCUGUGAAAUCUCUUGUUAA
Molecule: non-coding RNA, 457 nt
Organism: Psammomys obesus (fat sand rat)
Lineage: Eukaryota; Metazoa; Chordata; Mammalia; Rodentia; Muridae
Source: the annotation of a RefSeq genome assembly